GUGCAGCAGGCGAGAAUACUUUACAAUGUGCGAAAGCACGAUAAGGGAACUCUGAGUGCCUCCUAAGGAGGCUGUUCAGGUGUCUAAAAGCACCUGAAGGAAGGGCUGGGUAAGACCGGUGCCAGCCGCCGCGGUAACACCGGCAGCCCAAGUGGUAGCCACGUUUAUUGGGUCUAAAGCGUCCGUAGCCGGCUGGGUAAGUUCCUUGGGAAAUUUGGCUGCUUAACAGUCAAGCUUUCAGGGAAUACUGCCCGGCUUGGGACCGGGAGAGGUCAGAGGUACUCCAGGGGUAGGGGUGAAAUCCAUUAAUCCUUGGGGGACCACCGGUAGCGAAGGCGUCUACAGACGGUCCGGACGGUGAGGACGAAGGCGUAGGGGCGGCGAACCGGACGUUAGAUACCCCGGUACGGU
This 411-nucleotide ribosomal RNA is filed under the name uncultured microorganism. Its description in RNAcentral is "bacterial SSU rRNA". It matches the Rfam family "Archaeal small subunit ribosomal RNA", at positions 330 to 747 of the family's 1478-position model. The record is from RNAcentral.